GGGUGGAGCGGGAACCGAGGCGAACGCGGGGAGCGGCGAGGAUGGCGGUGGGGGCGGGCCGCGACGGCGGAGGGGUCGGCGAGAUUAGGGUUAGGGUUUGUGGACGGGAGGAGGGGGAAGCCAGAUGGGACGCGGAGGUGGAGGGGGGACGCGGAUGUGGUGGGGGAAGUAGUAGUAGGAGGCAUGGCUUGGCCGAAGGGGAAGAGAGAGAAACAAAGGGUGGGCGAGGAGAAGG
RNAcentral lists this ribosomal RNA (235 nucleotides) under Triticum aestivum (bread wheat). Its description in RNAcentral is "partial small subunit ribosomal RNA". Lineage: Eukaryota; Viridiplantae; Streptophyta; Magnoliopsida; Poales; Poaceae. The record is from RNAcentral.